UAAUAAGUGUUUUAUGGCACUUUUUAAAUCCAUAUCCACCUUGUGUGCAAUGUCGGUCGAUCUUCCAAGAAGAAAGAUCGGCCAAACAUCAACUUAUUUUUUUAACUCUUUGUCUGAAAAAUAUUAUGAAUAAACAAUUCAAAAUA
RNAcentral lists this unclassified non-coding RNA (146 nucleotides) under uncultured Mortierella. Its description in RNAcentral is "sequence contains ITS1". The record is from RNAcentral. Lineage: Eukaryota; Fungi; Mortierellomycota; Mortierellomycetes; Mortierellales; Mortierellaceae.